RNAcentral lists this ribosomal RNA (456 nucleotides) under uncultured organism. Its description in RNAcentral is "partial 16S ribosomal RNA". It matches the Rfam family "Bacterial small subunit ribosomal RNA", at positions 333 to 797 of the family's 1533-position model. The record is from RNAcentral.
ACACUCCUACGGGAGGCAGCAGUGGGGAAUAUUGCACAAUGGGCGCAAGCCUGAUGCAGCGACGCCGCGUGGGGGAUGAAGGCCUUCGGGUUGUAAACUCCUUUCGCUAGGGACGAAGCUUUUUUGUGACGGUACCUAGAUAAGAAGCACCGGCUAACUACGUGCCAGCAGCCGCGGUAAUACGUAGGGUGCGAGCGUUGUCCGGAAUUACUGGGCGUAAAGGGCUCGUAGGUGGUUUGUCGCGUCGUCUGUGAAAUUCUGGGGCUUAACUCCGGGCGUGCAGGCGAUACGGGCAUAACUUGAGUGCUGUAGGGGUAACUGGAAUUCCUGGUGUAGCGGUGAAAUGCGCAGAUAUCAGGAGGAACACCGAUGGCGAAGGCAGGUUACUGGGCAGUUACUGACGCUGAGGAGCGAAAGCAUGGGUAGCGAACAGGAUUAGAUACCCUAGUAGUCCCA